UCCUGGUUUGCUCAGUUGGUAGAGCGCUCCACUGGAAAUGGACCAAUCCCUGGUUCGAUGCAUGCAGGACCAUGCG
This 76-nucleotide transfer RNA is filed under the name Ixodes scapularis (black-legged tick). RNAcentral's name for it is "tRNA-Ser". The record is from RNAcentral. Lineage: Eukaryota; Metazoa; Arthropoda; Arachnida; Ixodida; Ixodidae.